RNAcentral lists this long non-coding RNA (231 nucleotides) under Rattus norvegicus (Norway rat). RNAcentral describes it as "long non-coding RNA NONRATT013488". Lineage: Eukaryota; Metazoa; Chordata; Mammalia; Rodentia; Muridae. The record is from RNAcentral.
GUAUACAGUGUCAGGUCCCCGCAGAGCCUGCCUGGCACGAGUUGGGGACUCGGAAGCCAGUACUUGGUUCUUCAUGACUGUCACUGUCAUUAUUGUUUGUGUCCCCUCCUACCUUACAGUGCGCAAACAGGAAAUUAUCAAAGUGACAGAGCAGCUGAUCGAAGCCAUAAGCAAUGGAGACUUUGAAUCCUACACGUGAGUUAGCCAGGCUCAUUCUGCAUGUGCUGCCUG